ACUACGGGAGGCUGCAGUGGGGGAUAUUGCACAAUGGGGGGAACCCUGAUGCAGCGACGCCGCGUGGGUGAAGAAGCGCCUCGGCGCGUAAAGCCCUGUCAGCAGGGAAGAAAAUGACGGUACUUGAAGAAGAAGCCCCGGCUAACUACGUGCCAGCAGCCGCGGUAAUACGUAGGGGGCAAGCGUUAUCCGGAUUUGCUGGGUGUAAAGGGGGCGCAGACGGCGAUGCAAGCCAGGAGUGAAAGCCCGGGGCCCAACCCCGGGACUGCUCUUGGAACUGCGUGGCUGGAGUGCAGGAGGGGCAGGCGGAAUUCCUGGUGUAGCGGUGAAAUGCGUAGAUAUCAGGAGGAACACCGGUGGCGAAGGCGGCCUGCUGGACUGCAACUGACGUUGAGGCCCGAAAGCGUGGGGAGCAAACAGGAUUAGAUACCCCGGUAGUC
RNAcentral lists this ribosomal RNA (440 nucleotides) under uncultured bacterium. RNAcentral's name for it is "partial 16S ribosomal RNA". It matches the Rfam family "Bacterial small subunit ribosomal RNA", at positions 338 to 795 of the family's 1533-position model. The record is from RNAcentral.